UUGACGUAAACAAACUCUUCGCAACACACCAGUUUAAUUUUUUAUUUAAUGUAAAGAAGAAAAUAAAUAGACAUGGCAAAUCAAGACCCAGUGAAGAAUGAAGAUAUUUUAGAGAACGAGUUCUAUCAUCAGCUCUUGUCAGAAAAAUUCGAUGUGAAGGAACAUGCUAGCCAAGUCCUUCAAGGAUCUAUCGUGUCAGAGCAACUAGGAAAACUUGCAGACGGACUGUCUUUGCUUGACAAGGCGAUACAGAAUCAAGUAUCAGAGCAUUAUGAAGAUCUUCUGAAACAUGCUAGUGGAAUUGAAACAGUUGAAAAUUUCUAUCCAUGAUGCAGAACCAUAUUCAAGGCUUUUCAGCGUCCAUUGAAAGACUGAAGACUAGAAUUAGUGAACCCCACAACAAGUUGCAAACUUGUCCCCACAGCAGGCUGCAACUUUCAUGUGAACUUUUGAGGAGGAUCAUUCGGAUCUUGUCUCUAUCCAAGAGGCUUCAAGUCCAUUUGCAGGCAGGCCCAAAGGAAAUCACUAAAACUGCCCAAACCUUAAGUGAACUAGGUGGAGAGUUGAGCAUUUGGCGGAGUCGCGAAGGGAUCGGCUUAAUUUCUAUCGGUUUCCCUCCAUCAAUCAUUUUAUAGAUCAUACGAUAUCGUCGUCUGUGCAGUGACUCAGAGCUGCAACUAAUCCGUUGUCGUAGUGGAGAAAGUGGCAGUCGUCACCUCGAGGAUGUUCCUCCACAAAUUAUUUGUCCUGCUCUCCGUUGCUCCUCACCACCGUCUUCAUGUUCGGCGCCAUGAGAAAGUUAUUCGGUCGCACUUUGAGCGAAAGAAUAAUGGGCGUGAUUUUCACGAGGGAUACUCCGCUUCGUUUUGGGACUGGCGUUGCGUUGAAGAGGAUCUUCGGGUAUGAAACUUCGAUGGCGGCGGAUGUAGACGACCUCGUACUCGUCGACUUGCGACGAAUUGUCCACGCCGAAUGUCCGUCCCAACUCGUCGACAUUCAUCAACGUGUGCAAAGUGCGCAACAACUAAUACAGAAAAAGGAUUAUCUACCGGGAACAAAUUUUGCAAAUUACCAAGAUUUCGUCCAGGAAUCACUACAACCGGGGGGUGGGGUAUACCCCCACGUUGUCCAAAUUGAACUAGACAACAUCAUCAAGAAAAAAUUCUGGGUUAAAAAAGAGUAUACUUAUCCUAAGGGAAAUGAGUAUGCUUGUACAUUGCUGGUGUUUUUACCAGGCUUAAAAUACAAGGUCACAAUAAUUGAUUGCAUUAAGGACUACGCUAUCACGGAUGCCUACCUCAAGAUAUUUGAACUCCUUUAUCGAUUUGGAAAAAUACUCGUUUCAUUUUUCGCCAGCAAUUAAAAAGUGAAUGACAAUGCCGGAGAACAUAGGAGAGAUUUUGCGAUCGUAAUCAGCAACGGUUACGACGAAAUCUUUAAUAGAGGGUGUUUGUACAGUCGGGACACAAGGCGUGGGCAUGCGGGAUCUGCAAUCAACGUGACAAGUUCCUCUACAUUCGACACACUUCAAGGCGGGCUUGCCAAAUUUAAUCCUACGCUAUAAGAGGUUUCACUAAUUAAAUUAAAGCCCAGCACAUUUCCCAACGAAAAGAAAAGACAACACAACUCAUCUAUUGCCAUACUUACCAUACUUAUUGUCAUAGUAUAUAAAAGAUUCCCUUGGAGGCCUAUAUAGCAAAGGCACCUGCCUGGCAAAGGCAGGCGCUUUUGUUAUAUAUUCAAGCCACCCUUGGACAAGACACGAAAGGACAAGACAGUAAAUCCCUACAAACAGGUUUACAGACCACCGGCCAACAACACAGUGGGGGUUUACCUUGUGGAGGAUGAAAGGGAGGAGGAAGAUGAAGAUGAAGAAGAAGUGGAAGUUGGUUUGUCUAAGGCUGUGGACCAAGGACAGGGAUUGUGUGGACAAAUUGCGCCGGAUCCUGUUGACCAAACUGUUCGCGUUGGCAAAAAAGGAGGAAGAGGAAGCAAAGGAACCCCUGACCCUGCUACUUUAAGAGGAAUUGAUGGCUUGGCCGGACCACCUGGAGAAGUCGGUUCUUGUAGACCUGGCGGACUGCCGAAGGGGGCUGGUGCAGGAGAAGGGGCUGGAGGAAUUAGAAAACAAAAAGAGAAGGCGAGGCCAUCAUUGACAGUUGAGGAUUUUAAAAACGAAAACCAAUCAAUGGUGGCCGACAAGGAAAUGGGAAGGCAAGUUAGAUUUCAGUGGCAGCAAAUCUUUCUGGUCGGCUGCCUUACGUCUAAUGGCAGCCAACGCCAAGAAGAAGAGGCAAAUGAAAUUUCCGCACUAUGUUAUUGACGUGGAAUUUUCGCUGUUCCCCAAGGACAGCCCGGAUAAUUUGUGGUAUUUACCGAAUUUGCGGAAAACUUUCUUCACAUAUCUAACUGAAGAUUAGCAGCUGCAGACCAUGCUGGCAUUAACGUUUCCCAGAUCUUCCUCGGUCAGUUAGGGAGUUUCUCUAGCUGGCACGUAGAAUACCUGAACUUAAACUAUCUUCAUAACGUUUCAUCAUUAUAACCCAAAACGAAUAAGAAAUUUAUGCAAUCCUUCAUGAACAUUUGCAAUUAAUUAUCCUUUUAUAUUUCUUCGAAUAUCCCAAUUAUCCCCACAUUAUUAGUUUUAAAUUGAUAUUAUCUCCAAUAUUUUAAUUCGUAAAUAUUUGUGUAGUUUUCUAUGCAGAAUUAACACAAAUAUAUUAAGAACGAAAUAAAUUGUGUAUUUGCUAGACCAAAGAUUCAAAACCAA
RNAcentral lists this long non-coding RNA (2770 nucleotides) under Daphnia pulicaria. Its description in RNAcentral is "uncharacterized LOC124329365, transcript variant X1". The record is from RNAcentral. Lineage: Eukaryota; Metazoa; Arthropoda; Branchiopoda; Diplostraca; Daphniidae.